Molecule: ribosomal RNA, 341 nt
Filed under: Blastocystis sp.
Lineage: Eukaryota; Bigyra; Opalinata; Blastocystidae
Description: SSU rRNA
Rfam family: Eukaryotic small subunit ribosomal RNA
Source: RNAcentral
GUAGUCAUUACGCUCGUCUCAAAGAUUAAGCCAUGCAUGUGUAAGUAUAAAUAAUUUUACUUUGAAACUGCGAAUGGCUCAUUAUAUCAGUUAUAGUUUAUUAGAAAUACUUUACUACUUGGAUAACCGUAGUAAUUCUAGGGCUAAUACAUGAAUAAAUCCUCAACUUCGGAAGAGGUGUGUUUAUUAGUAUGAAAACCAUAUAUCUUCGGAUAUAAUAGUGAGUAAUAAUAACCUUUCGUAUCGUAUGUCGUAAGAUAACGAUAGUUCUUUCAAGUUUCUGCCCUAUCAGCUUUCGAUGGUAGUAUAUGGGACUACCAUGGCAGUAACGGGUAACGAAG